This is a non-coding RNA of Chlorocebus sabaeus (green monkey), 1270 nucleotides long. The record is from RefSeq and is a predicted model, not a curated record. Lineage: Eukaryota; Metazoa; Chordata; Mammalia; Primates; Cercopithecidae.
GUUCAAGCAAUUCUCCUGCCUUGACCUCCUGAGUAGCUGGGAUUACAGGGUGAGAAGAAUGAUCACAGAGGACAAAUAAGCACAGAGGCAAACACACCCAGGACUUAUCAGGGAGCACGAUCCACAAGUAUAUGUGCUUUCUUCAGGAGCUCUUGCAAGGCAGGCCUGGUGGUGACAAAAAUCCCUCAGCAUUUGCUUGUCUGAAGAGGAUAUCAUUUAUCCUUCACUCAUGAAGCUUUAGCUGGAUAUGAAAUUCUGGUUCUACUGUUUCGUUUGAGGUCCUACAUGUAAGUGAGAACACGCGACAUUCAUCUUUCUGUGCCAAGUUUACUUAUAAUGUCUUCCAGGAGUGCCCAUGUUUUUAUGCCUCAAAACACCUGUGCGAUAAAAGCCAAACAUCCCCUAAAAGAAGGACUGAAACAGCAGAAUCCUAAUACUAGAAAUUAAUCAUUUGAGUACAUUAACAGUGAGAAUGGGAACAUUCCUUGUCACUUAAGUUUCUAUAGAACUAUAUCCAAUAUUUGGACUGUUUUUAUAUUUUAGAAAUAUAUUGAAUGUUGUGUCAAUGUUUGAUGUUGUUCUUGUAGAGUAUUUGUAUUUUCCAUUGCCAUGGUGAGAGAGUAAGCUUAGUUUUAGUUUCUGUUUUUGUUUUCUCAUUACAAAUUUUCAUGAGUAAUAUUGUUCAUGAGUAUCUCACUGCUUCAAAACCACUUGGAAAGGAAACCAAUUUCACCAGAAAAAGCCAAUUUUUUCACCCUUCUUUGUAAAAGAAUUGGUAGAUUCUGUUGUCAAAAUCUUCAGAGAGCAAACUCUUUCAGCGUAAUAAAUGUAAUGCAAAUCUCUUUUGUCUUCCAAAUUUUACAUACCAAAUAUGGGAAUCAGUUUCUCAGUGUCUAAGAUGUAUUUGAAUAAAUUGAAUAAAAAUCAACCCCUGUGGAACAAAAGAAAAACAAAUGUACACAUGCACACACAUAUAUGCAACUUUAUGUCACUAUUUUUUAAAAUGAAAGACUAUUCUUUCUGGAGCAGAAAUGCUAAUAUUCUUUUCCUAAAUUCACGUUAGUUUGGGAAUUAUGAAUUGAAGGGCCUCCUAUGAUUAAUGUGUCUAUAUCAUUUCUAGAUAAAUUUAGCAUUUUUCUAGGUUUUUGAAAUAAUAUGUGUGACAGUUCUUUCAGAAAGAUAAAUAUGAUUCAAUCUCAAAAAUCAUAGUCUAUGUGCUCAAUCUAUGUGCUCAGUCUACAUGCUCAAUUCUUUACUAGUGAUGCAUUCU